RNAcentral lists this ribosomal RNA (730 nucleotides) under Schyzocotyle acheilognathi. Its description in RNAcentral is "small subunit ribosomal RNA". The record is from RNAcentral. Lineage: Eukaryota; Metazoa; Platyhelminthes; Cestoda; Bothriocephalidea; Bothriocephalidae.
AUCUGUUUAACUGUAGUAGGAAGAAGUGUAUGGUGCACUAACCACAUAAGAUUUGUUUAUGUAUUGGCUCAAAUGUAGUUAGAUAGGGGGCUUAGUGGUUUGUUUUUUAUUUGAAUUGGCGUUUUUUAGGAGUUCACCAUUUAAAAGGGGAUAGGACACAGUGCCAGCAUCCGCGGUUAUUCUGUUUUCUUUACUUUUUUAUAGCAUAGUGUUUAAAAGGUUAAAAAGAAGGUUAAGUGAAAAUUUCUUGUUUUUAUUAUGGGCUUUUAUAAACAGAUAAGUGAUAUAAGAAUAACAGGGAUUAGAAACCCCAUUAAUUUAUCAAUUAUGAUUGUUUAGUAGUAAAACUAAAAUAGUUUGGCAGCGGGUUACUCCUAUUGGGGGAAGGUGCGUGGUAAAGGAUGGUCCGCCUAGUAAUUUACCAUAUUUAUGCUGGUGUAUAUCUAGUGUGAUAUUAGUGCUUUAGUGGUUAAAACUUGUGUAAUAAAUUUGAAGCUAAGUCUAUGUGCUGCGUGAUAUGGUUUAACGUGCGUUACAUUAAUAAGCUAUACGUUGUAAUACUUGUUGAUUGAGGACUCAAAAGUAAAAUUGAUUAAAGUGUCAGUUUGAAGUAGGAUUAACUCGGGUACACACCGCCCGUCAACCUCGGCUUAUGCUGAGGUAAGUCGUAACAUGGUAGCCCCAGAUGAAUCUGGGGCUAAUUAUCUCCUUAACCCGCGGGUUGAUUAUA